This 89-nucleotide ribosomal RNA is filed under the name Coelogyne fimbriata. Its description in RNAcentral is "5.8S ribosomal RNA". It matches the Rfam family "5.8S ribosomal RNA", at positions 1 to 89 of the family's 154-position model. Rfam says of the family: 5.8S ribosomal RNA (5.8S rRNA) is a component of the large subunit of the eukaryotic ribosome. It is transcribed by RNA polymerase I as part of the 45S precursor that also contains 18S and 28S rRNA. Functionally, it is thought that 5.8S rRNA may be involved in ribosome translocation. RNAcentral also lists the same sequence under 1 other name. Lineage: Eukaryota; Viridiplantae; Streptophyta; Magnoliopsida; Asparagales; Orchidaceae. The record is from RNAcentral.
GACUCUCGGCAAUGGAUAUCUCGGCUCUCGCAUCGAUGAAGAGCGCAGCGAAAUGCGAUACGUGGUGCGAAUUGCAGAAUCCCGCGAAC